Molecule: long non-coding RNA, 227 nt
Filed under: Elaeis guineensis (African oil palm)
Lineage: Eukaryota; Viridiplantae; Streptophyta; Magnoliopsida; Arecales; Arecaceae
Description: long non-coding RNA (EGUI_LNC064074)
Source: RNAcentral
CUGGUCUAACUUUUAGAUUAUAUCGGUAGAGUUCAGAACUCAUCAUCUUUUUAUGGAUUGAUGAUCUCCACUACUGGUAAGCAUGGUACAAAGCUGUCGCUGAUGUCGAGUAGCUGCACAGAUCAUCCGACCUCUACAGAUCGUCCACUUGAAGCUCUGAUCAGAUCUUCCUUCAUGAGAGUGCUAGCUCAUGUCGAAGGCUUUGGAUGGCUGAUCCAAGCUCCUUU